GUUUGGGAAGCGGCGGAGUUGCAGCCCCUCGCUGCACGGGGCUGUGCCCCAAGGCAGCAGCAGGGGGAGCCGCCUCCCCGGGGAAAGGGGCCCUGGAACUGCCGUAAUCCGUGUUCCUUCUCGCGGCUGACACGGGGGGAACUCGGGCUGUUCAUGCGCUCCUAAAAGCUUUCGUUUCAGCAGAUAAACACGAACAUAAAGUAGAAGAGAUCAACACUAAGAUUUGCUGCCAGUAAGGAAAACCGGCCAGUUUUAUGUGCUAGCAGUCCCAGCUUUAAAAUAAACACGAAGAUCCUGCCCAGAACACUUGAACAAUAAAGGACUAGGCACCUGGUGACAGGAGAGAUUUCUGAAGAACUGGGUGUUAAAAUAAGGGCCAAUCCCCAAGCUGGUUGUCAGGGGACACCCAGCCAGCUCCGUUCCCUGCCCCACUGCAGAGGUCACCUCUGCUCAGUGAAAGCUCUUUCAGACCCACCCUCGCCACGCAGCCCUGACUGCUGCUCAUUUGGGGUCACACCUUUGCUCAAAGCCCAGGACCUCCUUUGUGUUAUUCCUGCCUCAAGAAGCCUUUCUUUGCUGUAGUGCAUUAGAAUUUCUCAAAGCUGUGUAUCUCUGCAAAGUAAACUAUUUAUCUUCCAUUUUCCUGCUCAGAGGGCUGCAGGGCAGACCAUUUUUUUCCAAGUUCAAGUGCCUGUGUUGAUUCUCCCUAAUCUGUGCUAUGCCUCCAAAAUACGUGGAAAACUUUCAGCUUCUCUGAUGCUUCCCAGAGAACUGAUUGUGGCACUUCUGAAACAGAGCCAGGCAUCUUCCCAACCCCUGACUCCCACCCUUGUUUAUUAAAUCACAUGCCUUUCAGUUCUUCCUCUUCAAGGUGAAUUAUAUUGUGGACUUUGCUGGUUCCAUACAACACUGCUGAUAAAAACAUCUGUCAUGCAUUCUGGAUUUAGAAUAUUUGUUAAUAACCUUGCUCAGCAAGAGGUGCAGUUCAAAGCCAUGUGAUGUCUGGAGGGUUAGGCUGCUGAUUCCCGAGCCGUGUAGGAGACAAACUGGAAAGAUUUAACUUCAGCGGUCAGGAAGAGAGCAUGUGGUUAGAGAAUACAAGAACAGAAUCUGUUUUAGCAGACUUAAUGCCAAAACACCCUACCAGGAUUUAAUGGUCCAGGCAGCAGGAAGAAGGCUACUCUCUGCAUGAAACUCAUUUCAGGAGACUAACAGCCACUUGAUACUCAGAAGUGAGCCUCAAUGUAGAGUGAGUUAGGCAUCAUUUCCUUCAAGGCAUCUGGGAAGAUUUUGGACAUUGCAUUGUUUUAUGAGUAUGUACAUAUGUAUUGUCUAUCUAACAUAAAUUUGCUAAAUAAAAUUUGAAAACUGUUUACAAGCCAGAGGUUUUUACAAAAUUCCCUGUGAAGGCAAAGAAAAUGUAACACUCAUAGUUUCCAGGAGGUCAGUCAGCUUUUUGGAGCUGUGACUGGCUUCAGGUUUUUUUCCCCUUCUGUCCUCAUUGAUCAAGCCCUCUCCAGGCAGUAGGUCCUUACUGCUGAGCAGGGGCCUCUCCCUGGAAGUUUCAUUUGCUCUCAUCCCAUUCUCCUCCUGAUCCUUGCUCAGGGAUCUGGGUCCUCAGGACAAGCCCCUUCUGGAGCUGGCAGGACAGCCCAGCCUCUGUGAGAGCUGUGGGACUCUACACCACAGUUCCUUAGGGAGGAGGAAGAAGAAAGCUGCCAGGCAGAGAGAAGGGAAGGAGUUUGAUUUAGCUACAGAUUGAGGGCCCUUUCCAAACUCAGCAGAUACCAGCAGAAAUCAAUGGCGUGUUUCAGCUACUAAGUCACAGCAAUAAACCUACAGGUAAUGAAUUUUUGGGGGUGCAGUUGUUGACAGCAUCAGAAUGUCUGGGCUUUAGGAUGCAGGAGAUGGAGACCAAUGUUUUUUAAGCAGUAUGUACUUAGAGUGGGGACUGAAUCUGUACAUUCAACUGUAAAGUCUCUACUUGAUGAAGUAAUAUCCUACAGCUAAGUUAUGCUCAGAACACUCCUUGUUAAAUUACCAUGACUUUGUUUUUUUCAGGUUUGAUAGUCUAUGAGAAACUUCUUAAUGUGGCAAGUGGGUGUGGCUUGUCUAUAUUCUCUAACUUUUUAAUCAUUGCCAUUUAGAAACAAAUUCAAGUAAAUUGGUACCAACUCUCUCCUGUAGACAUGGGUACCAUGUAAAUGAACUAGUUUAAAAUAUAAAUUGCAUCACAUCAAAUGUAUUCACAUUAGGCAAGCACUGAAUUAAAUACAUUAGUAUAAAAAUCCAACUUUUAGCUGGUGUUGAAAAAUCAGUAUAAAGGCUGUAUUUAGAUCCUUUGUCGCUACUUCUCUGGCAAGGAGAAUAAUAGAUUAUGGUUUGCUUAAAGUCCUAUUAUACUAGCAAAAUACAGUUUGAAAGUGAUCUAAUUAUUUUGCCACAGCUUAUUAAUGAAUUCCUACUCUGUUAAAUUAUCUUGGGUUUCUUAAAAAGCUAAAAGAACUUGGAACAACUGACUCCUGGACUGCCAGGAGAUGGCACUGAUGGCCCACGAGCCCUCACACACACAUGCAUGGAGCCUGGAGUAACUGCACUGUCUCCCCAGCUCUUGAAUCCUGAUAUUGCAGCCUGCUGGCAUUAGAGCCCAAGGGUGCAAGCAGAGAGUAGCCCCACGUGCACUAUUUGUAACACACACCAGGAAGGCUUUAGACAUAAAACAUGCAGUUAUCUGUCAUGUUACCCCAAAGCAAUGUCUGGAGUGCAGUCACCUCUCCUGAGACUGUGGGGAGAAAAGACACAAGAGCUUUGUGAAUAAUUUUACCAUAACGGGAAUGCCAUAAACCUUUGUAGUUUCACCUUUUGUAAGUUACAGUAAAUUCAGGAACUACAGAGAAACAUACUCUACUAUGUUAAUAUCUGUUCUGUUACCUUGGGCAGCAAUAAAAUUAAUCAUGACCACUCACAGGCAGUAUCUCCUCUCUACACGUUAUUCUUAGAUGUAGAGUCUGAAAUUAUAAUUUGUUUUUAAGGAGUCAAGAUUUCCCCUAACAGAAUUAAAGGUUUCAGUGCUAGAGUCUACAAUUGGCUUUACUUCUAGAUAUGUAAUAAGCUUGGAAAUAAAAAGACAGCAUGAAACAAUAUUAAGUACAUAUACUUUCAGUUCCAAAACAAGAAGAACAAACUACACAGGGCACGGUACAACCGACACUUUAUUCCUUUGUGAUGGAGAUAUAUAGUAUUGAAACUGCAAGAGUCACCCAAAAAAAAAAAAAAAUUAAAAAAAUCAAAGUGCAAACCUCUAUUAGAACUGAUUAUGGAAUGUACUGAUGUUUUUGGCACAAAAAGUGGGGAAAUAUAUACUGCAACAAGAUUUUAAGUUUAAUGAAUGUAACGCUUCCGUGCUCAGUAGUCACAUUUGUGCACUGCAGAACAAUACAAUGUAAAACAGUGACUAACACGAUUCACAUACAACUCUAUACAAUUUACAUCACACAUCCAGUUAAAACUUCUCUGAAAAUACAUGAGGUCCACUGAUACUUUGUUCACAACCACUUAACAAAUACCAUUCUUUAAGCAGGCUUAUCUUUUCAGCUUCCUUAUUGAUAAAAGCAAAAAUAGACAAUCUUAAAUAGUAAGUUAUUUUCCUCCAAUGGUUCCAUGUGGAUGUUGAUGUUUUCUAUUAAUUUGUCUCUGACUUCACUGAUUAAACAUACAUGAAGCUGAACAAAAUCAAAAGCUCAUUGCUUCCAUAUUUUCCAAUUUGCUGUGAACAAACAGCAUUCUGUAUACUGUCUUUUUGUUUUCAAACCUGGACAUAGUGGUGCCUAUGAGCUCUAUUCCUAUCACAUGGAAAUCACCAAAAAAAAUCAGAGCAUAGCUUCACAAAGUGGCAUGUAUUGAAAACUGACUAUUAACAUGGUAAACACAAAAAUACAUAAAUGGAAGAAUUCAAGUUUGUUUCAUAAGGUACAGUAUGCAUUCACAUUUUCAUUACAGAGAGAGAGACACUGUAUUCACAUCCUGUUGAAGAAAGAAACCCACAUAUCACAGAUCUCCCUAAACUCUUAGCAAAGAUAAUAUCCAUGAAAUAUCUAUAAUGCACAUUCUGUCUCUUUCAUUUCAACUGAGCUAAACUGAUUGCUGAAAGGAAAAAUCAUUUGAUGAAUAAUUCAAGCCACAUUGCUGAGCUAUUACCACAAGAACUUCUGUAUGGGUCUGCUCUGUCAUACAGCCUGACAGUUGUUAUCAAGAGUUUUAUGUGGGCAAUUAUCAGUGGCUCAGUGUCUCAUCUCCUUUUUUGGUUUGAGAUUUGAUUUUAUUAUUUAUAUUAAUCAAGAAUGAUGAUUUAUAUCAGGCAUCUGAGAAAUGUUCUGGUGACAAAAUGCACCGGACAUGCAUUAGAUGCACAUGUGUCACUGCAGAAAUGUCCUCACAAAUGAAUUGUUUGGGCAACAGAAAAAUAAACAGCAAACAGCAAGAACAAGAAACAUUUGGCAUGAUUUUAGUUCUUAGUACCACACUGCAAAUACAUAAACUGAAGUGCUCAUAAUAUUUUUCUCUCUAAUGCCAGAAUAAAGAUUAGCAGGAGAAGCUGUGAGGUGAAGGUGAUCCCACUAACCAGCUUAGGUAACUUUUGGCAGCAGACUAAGAUGUAAUUUUGAGCAUCUAUGUUAAGAGGCUGUGAUUCCUACGGAGGCCAAGAGAGAGAGAGAGCAGGUGUGGUUUUAAAGCACCUAAAUUUUGUGCCAGAAGUUAGACAGUUUGAAUACAACAAUUGAAGGAAUUCAGGUCCCUCAGCCACUCCCUUGCCUUCUGUACACCAAAGUGCAGCCCUGAAGCCAAGGAAAACUAAAUGGCAAGAGAUGAAAACCCAACCUCUCUGUCUAUAUACAGCUGUUUCUCAGCUCUGAAAUCCCGACUCAUCCUCUCCCUCCCCUAGGGAGCCAGGGGAUUUCAUUGUCACCCAUUCUAAGGCUUUCAAGGACACAAGGUAACAGCAGUGUCAUCGGAAAUGGUUCUCUUUUUUCUGGAGAAAUCUUAAAAAGAGGAGUCACCCAGGAGGCCAGUUACUCUCUGGAUCUACAGCUCCUGCUGUCAUCCUUUCAGCUCAAAGAAAGUUGCUCAGACUCAAAGCAGACCCUCUCAGUUUUUCCUCUCUCCUGGCACCUACUCAAAGAGGGAGUGAGUUUAGGACAGUCCAUCAUGGCUUGGGAUACUGUGAA
Long non-coding RNA from Cyanistes caeruleus (blue tit), 5225 nucleotides. RefSeq lists it as uncharacterized. NCBI's taxonomy places the organism in Eukaryota, Metazoa, Chordata, Aves, Passeriformes, Paridae. The record is from RefSeq and is a predicted model, not a curated record.